CUCCCCCAGAAAUUAUAAUAUCCUUUGAUCGAUCCUUUAGCUCUAUGUAACCAUCAGGGUGUUUCACCCCCAAAUCCCCACUCCUAAACCACCCACCAUGAAAUGCUUCUUGGGUUGCUUUCAAGUUUUUCAAAUAUCCAUUCAUUACGGUGUUGCCUCUGAACAUAACUUCACCCAUGGUUUUUGCAUCCGGUGGUACACUUUUCAUGGUGACAGGAUCUUUUAUAUCAAUUUCCUCUAGUCCAAGAUGUUGCACCCCCUGACGAGCCUUGAUCUUCGCCUGUAUAUGGCGAGGAAAGGAAGCCCAUUCAGGUUUCCAAGUGCAAAC
RNAcentral lists this unclassified non-coding RNA (328 nucleotides) under Hevea brasiliensis (rubber tree). The record is from RNAcentral. Lineage: Eukaryota; Viridiplantae; Streptophyta; Magnoliopsida; Malpighiales; Euphorbiaceae.